GAUGUUAAGUAUUGCUCUUCUUCUCUUGCUAUAGACUCAUCAGACGAGUCCGAGAUGACAUUAACCAGCUUCUUGGAGGAGGCUAUAUUACCAUGAUCCGAAGAAGGGGAAUUACGGAGCUGAAAUGAAAUGGACAUGUGGGUAGGUGCAGAGUCCGAGGUAAUGCUCCGUGAAAGUGCAUACUCACUGCCCGUGGAAUGAGAUGCAGCUCUAUCAGCUUCCAAAAUUAUCUUCCAGGUUUUCUU
This 245-nucleotide long non-coding RNA is filed under the name Nicotiana benthamiana. RNAcentral's name for it is "long non-coding RNA (NBEN_LNC037144)". The record is from RNAcentral. Lineage: Eukaryota; Viridiplantae; Streptophyta; Magnoliopsida; Solanales; Solanaceae.